AUGGCGAAGCCCUGGCCGGAGGCUGAACACCAGCAUUCAGCCCGGAGGUCACAGGACCGCGGGGUGGUGGGGGCUGGGGGCACCUCCGGGCCCCUCUGGUGCCACCCGGCUCCAGCAGGGCCACCCAGAGCCCUGCACCACGUCCAGCCGGGUGCGAAGACCCCGAGGAGGAGGCUCCGGCACCUCCUGAGGACCUGUGCCAGGGCUCCGGCACCCGCCCGGCACGGCCGUGCUUCGUGCUGCUCACGGGGAGCCUCCCGGGCUCCAGUUUGUGCCCAGCACCGCUGGGCCUGGCACUGGGCACCGCUGGAAGGAGCCCGGCUCCAUCCCCUCCGCUCCCCAUCCUCCCCCUUGGCUUCAGCAUCACCCUCAGACCUCGAGCCAAAGCCAAACCCUGCCUGCUCUCUGCCGAGGCGCAGGAAGAUGGGGACAAGGCAGAAACCGAGCAGAACCCGCUGCCAGCUCCAGGGACGCUUCGGAGAGGCGCGGCAAGAAGCUGUGCUCGGCCCGUCCGCGAAGGCACGCACCUGCAGCGGGCACCGGCGAUGCUGGCGGCGUCUCCCGCGCCGGGGGGCCGGGGCUCGGCACCGCGUUCGCCUCCCUCUGCAGGAAGGGGCUGCGCAAUUUGCCUGGAAAAGGAGAUGGAGGUGCUGGAGGAAGGGGCUCAGGUACCCCUCGCUCGCCAUCUGCCUGCCACCGGGCUCGCCUCCCCCGGCAGGAUUUUCCAGCUCCGGUCCCUCUUGCAAAAAACGAGUUUGUCGACUGGUUACAGCAGCGCCGCAGCCGAGCGAACAAGAAACCAGCCCCGACGUCGUGUCGGGGAAGCGGAGCAGCUCUGAGGCCGGCAGCGCCGGCUCCCCGGGGAUUUUCCUGCCGCUCUUAUCUCGCCCAUCGGUGCCUCCGAGCGCAAACAAGCACGGGGCCGCGCCACCAAGGUGCGCUCGCGCUCCUUCCGCAAAACCGGGGAACAUGAGUUACUCCGGACUAAUUCGAGUCGUUCUCUGGGGGCUGGGCUGCUGGGGGGGGGAUGUUGGCCUGGGCACAUCACGUGUUUGCAGCGGCUUCCUCGGCUGCAGCCCCAGCUUCGGUUUUCACAACUUCCUGGCUCCUGCCCCGCGGAGCGGCUCGGUCUCGUCGGCUGCGCUCGAGCGCGUGAGCAGCCGGGCGGGACGGCAGGCAGCCAGGCCGGGUUCCUUUCCGGCAUUAGUACGUCUCAUUAAAAAAAAUACGAAGAAAUCUAAAGCUUCCCGGGUACAGUGGGGUAUGGAUACGGCAGUCUCGGUUGUUAACGCUUCCCCCCCGCCCCCGGGAGCCCCCCGGUGCCCACUGCCACGUCCCACCUGGCUGGGCAGCAGCUGCUGUGUCCCCGGGUGCCGACCUCUCCCUCUGCUUGAAGAUGUCCCGGGGGUUCACCGGCCUCUGAGCGAUCAGCGACGCUGCCUCCUGCACAGGAACCAGGGGUUAAGCAGGGGCCGGAGGGGCUGGAAGGGGCAGAGGGGCUGGGAGCAGCCCCCCAGCGCGGGUCCCCCCCAGCAAAGCGCACCUGGGCUUUCUCCACUGACUCGCUCCUCCUGA
This is a long non-coding RNA of Anser brachyrhynchus (Pink-footed goose), 1575 nucleotides long. NCBI's taxonomy places the organism in Eukaryota, Metazoa, Chordata, Aves, Anseriformes, Anatidae. The record is from Ensembl.